This 301-nucleotide ribosomal RNA is filed under the name uncultured bacterium. RNAcentral describes it as "partial 16S ribosomal RNA". It matches the Rfam family "Bacterial small subunit ribosomal RNA", at positions 509 to 808 of the family's 1533-position model. The record is from RNAcentral.
CAGUCGCACGGGAAUACGGAGGAUCCAAGCGUUAUCCGGAAUCAUUGGGUUUAAAGGGUCCGUAGGCGGUCUUGUAAGUCAGUGGUGAAAGCCCAUCGCUCAACGGUGGAACGGCCAUUGAUACUGCAGGACUUGAAUUAUUGGGAAGUAACUAGAAUAUGUAGUGUAGCGGUGAAAUGCUUAGAGAUUACAUGGAAUACCAAUUGCGAAGGCAGGUUACUACCAAUUGAUUGACGCUGAUGGACGAAAGCGUGGGUAGCGAACAGGAUUAGAGACCCCAGUAGUCCCUGUCUCUUAUACA